CAAGGAAAUUGGUUCUCACUGAAGCAGAAAUAAGUCUGGAAAUAACCUAGUACUUUGAAAAUACUGGAGAAGCUAGCUGGGUGACUUGGCUGUCAUGUGCUGUGAGACUGAUCACCUCACCAGAAACACUGAAAGUAGUAACCUAAUCAGAAAUUGAGGCUCUUUCCUAGCAGCCUGUGUUUGGUGAG
Lutra lutra (Eurasian river otter) is the source of this 188-nucleotide long non-coding RNA. RefSeq lists it as uncharacterized. The record is from RefSeq and is a predicted model, not a curated record. The transcript has 3 exons. Lineage: Eukaryota; Metazoa; Chordata; Mammalia; Carnivora; Mustelidae.